MicroRNA precursor from Gallus gallus (chicken), 77 nucleotides. Ensembl annotates it as gga-mir-1434. Lineage: Eukaryota; Metazoa; Chordata; Aves; Galliformes; Phasianidae. The record is from Ensembl.
AGUGCGUGAUGAUGGAAAAUUUCUUCACUUUGACCUGACUUGUUUGAUUGAAGAAAUUUGAGUAUCUGACGCGAGCU